UUGUUGGGGUAAAUAUUUAAAUUCAAAAUAGUUGUGGGAGUAACGUGUAAGAAUGUGAAUUACCAUUUGGCACUCAAUCUUUUUAUUUUUAUUUUUUUGAGGAAAUCACUCAGUCUCUUUCUUGCACCUUUGUCUGUUAUGCUAUUUGAGGAUACUCUUCUAAGGAAAAGGGACAUGAAAAAGAAUAUAUCAUAAAUUUUUUU
RNAcentral lists this unclassified non-coding RNA (203 nucleotides) under Hevea brasiliensis (rubber tree). The record is from RNAcentral. Lineage: Eukaryota; Viridiplantae; Streptophyta; Magnoliopsida; Malpighiales; Euphorbiaceae.